RNAcentral lists this ribosomal RNA (464 nucleotides) under uncultured bacterium. RNAcentral describes it as "bacterial SSU rRNA". It matches the Rfam family "Bacterial small subunit ribosomal RNA", at positions 339 to 796 of the family's 1533-position model. The record is from RNAcentral.
CUACGGGAGGCAGCAGUGGGGAAUAUUGGACAAUGGGCGAAAGCCUGAUCCAGCCAUGCCGCGUGAGUGAUGAAGGUCUUCGGAUCGUAAAGCUCUGUGGGAAGGGACGAAAAAAGCCGACCUAAUACGUCGGAGCUUGACGGUACCUUCUUAGCAAGCACCGGCUAACUCCGUGCCAGCAGCCGCGGUAAUACGGAGGGUGCAAACGUUGCUCGGAAUUGUUGGGCGUAAAGCGCACGUAGGCGGCCCGUUAAGUCGGAUGUGAAAUCCCUCGGCUCAACCGAGGAAGUGCAUCCGAAACUGGCAGGCUUGAGUACGGAAGAGGGUCUCGGAAUUCCCGGUGUAGAGGUGAAAUUCGUAGAUAUCGGGAGGAACACCAGUGGCGAAGGCGGAGACCUGGGCCGAUACUGACGCUGAGGUGCGAAAGCGUGGGGAGCGAACCGGAUUAGAUACCCUUGUAGUCC